CCCUCUUCUUCCCUCUUUUUUCUUCCUUCUUUUUCUUCCCUCUCCUUUCUUCUUCUCUUUCCUUCUUUUUUUCCCUCCUUCCUCUUCCCUUCCUCCUUUCUUUCGAAACUGCAUGGCUUGAGUACGGGAGGGGAGAGUGGAACUUCUGGUGGAGCAGUGAAAUGCGUAGAUAUCAGAAGGAACGCCGGCGGCGAAAGCGACUCUCUGGUCCGAAACUGACGCUGAGUGUGCGAAAGCUAGGGGAGCAAACGG
Molecule: ribosomal RNA, 252 nt
Filed under: uncultured prokaryote
Description: partial 16S ribosomal RNA
Rfam family: Bacterial small subunit ribosomal RNA
Source: RNAcentral